RNAcentral lists this ribosomal RNA (463 nucleotides) under Klebsiella pneumoniae. Its description in RNAcentral is "bacterial SSU rRNA". It matches the Rfam family "Bacterial small subunit ribosomal RNA", at positions 339 to 794 of the family's 1533-position model. The record is from RNAcentral. Lineage: Bacteria; Pseudomonadati; Pseudomonadota; Gammaproteobacteria; Enterobacterales; Enterobacteriaceae.
CUACGGGAGGCUGCAGUAGGGAAUCUUCCGCAAUGGGCGAAAGCCUGACGGAGCAACGCCGCGUGAGUGAUGAAGGUCUUCGGAUCGUAAAACUCUGUUAUUAGGGAAGAACAAACGUGUAAGUAACUGUGCACGUCUUGACGGUACCUAAUCAGAAAGCCACGGCUAACUACGUGCCAGCAGCCGCGGUAAUACGUAGGUGGCAAGCGUUAUCCGGAAUUAUUGGGCGUAAAGCGCGCGUAGGCGGUUUUUUAAGUCUGAUGUGAAAGCCCACGGCUCAACCGUGGAGGGUCAUUGGAAACUGGAAAACUUGAGUGCAGAAGAGGAAAGUGGAAUUCCAUGUGUAGCGGUGAAAUGCGCAGAGAUAUGGAGGAACACUAGUGGCGAAGGCGACUUUCUGGUCUGUAACUGACGCUGAUGUGCGAAAGCGUGGGGAUCAAACAGGAUUAGAUACCCGGGUAGU